CGCCGCGCACAGUGCGUGGCGUUCCUUUUCUACUGCAACAAGGGGUCUGCCCGUG
This is a non-coding RNA of Pantoea wallisii, 55 nucleotides long. The record is from Rfam. Lineage: Bacteria; Pseudomonadati; Pseudomonadota; Gammaproteobacteria; Enterobacterales; Erwiniaceae.